AACGAACGCUGGCGGCAUGCCUAACACAUGCAAGUCGAACGAGACCUUCGGGUCCAGGGGCGCACGGGUGCGUAACGCGUGGGAACCUGCCCUUAGGUUCGGAAUAACUCCCCGAAAGGGGUGCUAAUACCGGAUAAUGUCUUCGGACCAAAGAUUUAUCGCCUUUGGAUGGGCCCGCGUUGGAUUAGCUAGUUGGUAGGGUAAAAGCCUACCAAGGCGACGAUCCAUAGCUGGUCUGAGAGGAUGAUCAGCCACACUGAGACUGAGACACGGCCCAGACUCCUACGGGAGGCAGCAGUGGGGAAUAUUGGACCAUGGGCGAAGGCCUGAUCCAGCAAUGCCGCGUGAGUGAUGAAGGCCUUAGGGUUGUAAAGCUCUUUUAACCGGGAUGAUAAUGACAGUACCGGGAGAAUAAGCUCCGGCUAACUCCGUG
This 433-nucleotide ribosomal RNA is filed under the name uncultured bacterium. RNAcentral describes it as "partial 16S ribosomal RNA". It matches the Rfam family "Bacterial small subunit ribosomal RNA", at positions 29 to 507 of the family's 1533-position model. The record is from RNAcentral.